Long non-coding RNA from Rattus norvegicus (Norway rat), 4287 nucleotides. RefSeq lists it as uncharacterized. The record is from RefSeq and is a predicted model, not a curated record. Lineage: Eukaryota; Metazoa; Chordata; Mammalia; Rodentia; Muridae.
GGUGAUGAUGGUGGUGGUGAUGGCGGGGAUAAGGAAGAUAUUGUUGGCAGCUGUAGUGCUUUUGAGAAUAAGAUAAAUGGCAACAUCUUCGGUGGACUCCAGUUUGCAAGCUGUCCUCACCAUAUCAUAAUCCCUGGGAAAGAGCCACAGUGUGGACCCACUUUCCAUGGAAGUCAUGGGGAGAAUUGAGACUCUCCAGCAGCUCCAGCUCCUGACCAGUCCCUACCCUGUGGUCCUCCGAAUGUCCAUGACUUUCAGGAAUCUGCCCAGUUCUGGAUUCCUUCUCUACAGCCUGACAACUCCCAAUGGCGCCACCAGAGGGCGCUCUGCGGCAGGGAAUGGGCACACUGGGUCUUAGCCACGGAGCUGGACCACGGUCCUGAUAUGGAGGGAGAGGGGCAGAUUCUGGACUCUCAGGGGCCGUCUGCCACGUCAAAGGCUGUGUGGCCAUGCAGGUCUUCGCUUACCUGAAGGCUCUAGGGAUGACUCAUGGGAACCAGAUUGGUGCUGGCCUGGAAAGACCCAAGCGGGGAUGUGAUAUCGGAGACAGGGCUGGAUCACUGUGAAUAACGGGAGGACAGGAGGGGCCAUGGAGAAGAGUGCAGACCACUGGAGUAGACCUGGAUGGAGCAAUCUCAACAGAUCUACAGUACAGAGGACAUGGCCACCAAGGCACCAUCCCCACCCAGCCUGACAGUAACCAAUCAGAGGAUUUUGCCCUCUUCUCAGCCUGGACACAGGAGAGGAGACAGAGGGAGCAGCUAAACCCUAAUCCAAGGAGAAAUGACCCCAGUCCUGGCCAGGUCCUCAUCUGAGAAGAACAUGCCCUUGGCCUCAAAGAACACUUCCUGUGUGGACAACUAUGAAGAAAAAUGGCGUGUCUCGGCUGGAAGAAACCGGCUACUUUCGUCUGUCCACGGCUGACUCCAUGACCUUGCUCAUGAGGCAAAGCACCGUCCUCAGCGCCUGCAUGUGUGUUUGGCCUGGCAUCCACCUGUUCUGACAGAGCACCCAGAUACUUCAGGAAUGAAGUCCUGGCCAGCCCUGCCUGACCCUGACUGCUGCUGCUCUUGCCUGAGGGUUGGGGCCGUAUCUCAGCAGUACCAGUCAAGGCCCUGACUCCUUACCUCCACAGAGAGCCAUCAUCUGGGGUCUGAACUCACUCUGGCUAGGGACCUUGCUUCCAGAAUCUUCUGUUAAUUCCCCUUCGAAUGUAGCCUGUCUUCACUUUUCAAAGUAUCGUUUAGGAUUAAAAGCUGACCCGAGUUGGCUGUGGCAGCGCGUGCCGAAAAUCCUGACACUCGGUAUCUCAAAGCAGGAGGUUCCAGCCUGAGCUACGCAGUCAGUACCUGAAGAGACCAGAAGAGGGCGUCAGAUCUCCUGGGACUGCGAUUACAGGUAGUAGUAAGAGGCCACGAAUGUGCUGGGAAUUAAACCUGGGUCCUCUGGAAGAGUAGCUCUUACUGGCUGAGCCAUCUCCCCAGCCUUCUGGCACAUUCUAAAGACUGACCAGUCUGUCCCGUCUCUGAUGAUGACAUUGAAGGUGCUAGGUCCCUAGGAGCCAGACUGGGCUGGCCAACCUGGCUGAUAUAACCCUACAGUCUUCAGCACUUGCGGACUUCAGAGAAAUUGUCCUUGAUUCUGAAAGCCUGCUGCUGUGAGAUCAGGCCAAGGCUAGUGGACCCGUCUUGUCCCAUGAUGCCGCUUCUGGCUCGGGAGACAGUGGGAAGAACCAGCAAACUGAGCCCUUCUCUUCACUGCCACUGCUGGGAGUUAAAAGACAUGCACUUCAGCAUCCUGUCCACCUCCCACCACUACAGCCUGAAGCGCCAGAGGGUGCUGACAGGUGGGUGAACACUUAUCUCUCUCAACAUUGUUCCCAUCUUUGAGUCAUUUCCUGCAGGCCCUAACCACUCCUGACCUGUACUGCACACUCCUCAGACAUAGGUGGCAGGGACAUCCUCCUGUGGGGGGGUGUUAAAACCAGAGCUCCCAGCAUUGGUACCCCAACCCUAUAGUGCCCAUCAUGUAGGUGCCCAAGGUCCUGUGGGUCAUUGUGACUCUGAUGGUCAGUGACCCUGUAGGUUCCCAGUUCUGUGAGUUCUUGUGGUACUGUGGGUGUCUGUGGCUCUGUGGGUGUCUGUAUCCCCGUGUAUUCCAGCGACCCUGUGGGUAUCUGUCUGUGAGUGUCUGGUUCUGGGUGGAUGAUAGCCCUGUAGCGUCCAAAACCCUGACUGAACUGCCGUAUGUCCUCACAGCCACCAGGGGGCAGAAGAGGGUGCAGGCCCACCUUCCAAGAGGACCUGUCUUCCCUUGUAGAGCCAGAGCUUUGUGUAGACCAGAGAGGUGGGGGCUAGAGAGCAAAGGAGGCUGAACAAGGUCACUCCAGGCCAGCAGAGAAAUCUUGGCUUGGAUCCUGCCUCUGCUGCUACCUCCCACAUGACUUCACCAGCCCGGCCCUCAUCGGAACAUGCAGAGCACUGGGCCCACUUCAGGCAUUGCCUCCAACGCGGAAAUUAACUUCCUGCCCGGAGAGGCUGCGCCCACACAGCUGCAGGUCUGGGCCGCCAGACCUGGGGCGCUCUGGAGUCCAGUUGAGGCCUCUCCUGCCCUCCUCCUGUCUGCAGAUGGAGAGAUUGAGACCCGGCCAGGACAGGGGGGCUUGGAUAACAUUGCGCAAUAAAUCCAAAUCGGGGACAGGGCCAGCUGGGCCUGCAGACGCUAGGCCUGCUUGCUUCAUGGAGUCAUCUUCCAGCCUGCGUCUCAAUCCCACCAAGCACUGGGGUCCUGCAGGGCUGGAGAAAGACAGCUGUUAUCUAGUCCUGAAGGUCUUCCGGUGCCAGCCCCAGGCUCCGGGCACUGUGGCCACCAGCUUCGGAAGUGAGAAGUUUCAUAUUGUUUUCCAAGCCUGAGGUGUGGGUGUUUCUGGACCAUGUGGGUAUUAGGGACCCCAUCGCCAGUGCGAGGCCUGGCAGGCAUACGGUAGGAGUGAGGAAACAAGGACGUUCCUGGCGUAGUGUCUGUCUCUCCAGCUUCUCUCUCCCUCAGGUUAUAGAGCGGAGAGUGGAUAACCCAGCAGCUGUCCUCUGGGCCAGCAUCCACCCAGCUCCAACAUAGAAGCAUAGCUAGAGACUACUCUCAGACCCAAGCGGGUGACCCAGGAGGAUUUCUUUGUCCCUCAGAGUGUCAAAUAGAAGUAACUGUGGAUUCCUGCUGGAGCUCUGAGAGUAACCAACCCCCUACCCCUUCGGGCCUCAGUUUCCCCUCAGCUGAGAGGCAGGGAAGAGAACUGUAAGGCUGCAAGCUCAGCCCAGCCCUGGGAUAGUCCCAGCUCAAGGCUGGGAGAUGAAUGAAGGUCUGGAGUCUAGGGCCUGGUCUUCCUUUCAGCCACCAAAAAGGGUUCAUUUUGUGCCUUGGGCAGGUCGCCCAGGCAAGGAGGCCACUGGCUGCCAUUCUCCAGGACCUCCUCCCGUCUGCAAGAAGCAUUACCUCAUCGGGAAGCCAUUCCGGAAAAGGGCUUCAGAGCUCCAUGAGUGGGAAUGAAGAGGGCUUUCCAAGAGCCUCCUGGCCACCCAGGAGCCCAGCCAAGGCAGACAGUGCCUGUCCAGUGACCGCUGCAGGGAGGUGACAAGGCUGGCUUGGACUGAGCAGGCAGAAGGGACAGUCGUGCCCGAAGCCAGCAGCUUCCAGGUAGACAAAGUAGAUAUUUCAAAAGCUGAAACAAAAUGACAUGAGAGGGGCUGGGAAAAUGCAGGGCAGAGUCACCAAGCCCUGACCCUCUCCAGCCCACGUCCCUGCCUGCAAAAUACAUUAGGCACACCAAGCUGUACCCUGCUGUCUAAUGAUACACACCCGGAUGACAUGAUUGGCCACAUGAUCAGGGGUGGGGAGGGAACUCUAAGGACAGCUUGGGGUGGGGAGAUGUGCUAAAGGCGAUCAGGAGAGUUCCCUAACCACUGGCCCAGUGACGACGAUACUACGGGACACUCUUGGAGCCUUGAUAUUUCUCAUCUGGAGAAUGGAGCAAAUAAGCAUCCCUUGAAAAAGACAUCUGAGAACACAGGCACUGACAGGCUGGUGCUUUUGGGGUCACAUGGGUGGGUCCUCCUCUGCCUGGGUCAGGGGACUUCUCCUAGAAUGAGCACAGGCUUCUCUCAUUGCCCCAGGGGGAGUGAAAUUCUGCCUUCCAACUUCUCCCAACCACAGAACUUCCUGUGCUUGCCAUCUUUCCCCAAAUCCUACCUGGAGAAUGUCCAUGCACCCUGAAAAUAAAUCUAGAAGAGAUUG